GGGAUGGAGCAGCCUGGUAGCUCGUCGGGCUCAUAACCCGAAGGUCGUCGGUUCAAAUCCGGCUCCCGCAACCA
Molecule: transfer RNA, 74 nt
Filed under: Morganella morganii
Lineage: Bacteria; Pseudomonadati; Pseudomonadota; Gammaproteobacteria; Enterobacterales; Morganellaceae
Also listed under: 5 other names
Description: tRNA-Met
Rfam family: tRNA
About the family: Transfer RNA (tRNA) molecules are approximately 80 nucleotides in length.
Source: RNAcentral